GAUGAACGCUGGCGGCGUGCUUAACACAUGCAAGUCGAACGGGAAACCUUUUAUUGAAGCUUCGGCAGAUUUAGCUGGUUUCUAGUGGCGGACGGGUGAGUAACGCGUGGGUAACCUGCCCUAUACAGGGGGAUAACAACCAGAAAUGGUUGCUAAUACCGCAUAAGCGCACAGGACCGCAUGGUCCGGUGUGAAAAACUCCGGUGGUAUAGGAUGGACCCGCGUUGGAUUAGCCAGUUGGCAGGGUAACGGCCUACCAAAGCGACGAUCCAUAGCCGGCCUGAGAGGGUGAACGGCCACAUUGGGACUGAGACACGGCCCAGACUCCUACGGGAGGCAGCAGUGGGGAAUAUUGCACAAUGGGGGAAACCCUGAUGCAGCGACGCCGCGUGAAGGAAGAAGUAUCUCGGUAUGUAAACUUCUAUCAGC
This 429-nucleotide ribosomal RNA is filed under the name uncultured bacterium. RNAcentral describes it as "bacterial SSU rRNA". It matches the Rfam family "Bacterial small subunit ribosomal RNA", at positions 28 to 440 of the family's 1533-position model. The record is from RNAcentral.